GUGUGUAUAUUGUGUAGUGUGUAUAUUGUGUAGUGUGUAUACUGUAGUGUGUAUAUUGUGUAGUGUGUAUACUGUAGUGUGUAUAUUGUGUAGUGUGUAUACUGUAGUGUGUAUAUUGUGUAGUGUGUAUUUUACUGUAGUGUGUAUAUUGUGUAGUGUGUAUAUUGUGUAGUGUGUAUUUUGUAGUGUUGUGUAUAUUGUGUAGUGUGUAUUUUACUGUAGUGCAUUCGGAAAGUAUUCAGACCGCUUGACUUUUUCCAUCAUUUCUUCUGUUACAGCCUAACUAUAAAAUGGAUAAGAGUAUGAGUAAGUAAGAGUAUGGGUAAGACAGUUUUAGUGUGUGUAGACAGUUUUAGUGUAUAUAGACAGUUUUAGUGUUUAUAGACAGUGUUACAGUUUUAGUGUGUAUAGACAGUUUCUUCACUCACUCACUCACUCACUCACUCACUCACUCACUCACUCACUCACUCACUCACUCACUCACACACCUUUCCUGCUCCUCACAGGUCUUUAUUUUACACUACUGGGGAACCUAGAGGCCAGAGUUUGCGGCCUGGGCUUCAUUGCCAAUGAGAGUCAACAAUGUGAUGAUAUAGAUGAGUGUAAAGAGUGGGACAGUACCCCACCCUGUGGAAGUAAAGCCACGUGUUACAAUACAUAUGGAAGCUUCUACUGUCACUGUCUACCUGGGUUCAGAUCCACAACGACUUUCAAGUUUACUCCUCUCACUGGGGAGUGUAAUGGUGAGUAUUCAAAUGUCUGAGUGUGUGAAUGUUACAAGUCAAGGGAAAAAUAAACAUUACUUUUUCAAUAUCUUCUCUGUUCUGUGGCAUAUUUAGAGUUUGUUGAUCAGUGAUUCCCCAACCUCUCCUCUUGUACCCCCAGAAUGUCCUCUUCUUUGAUGUAUUCCAGAACUAGCAUAGCUGACCCAAAUGGUCACCUAAUCAUCAACCCUCUAAUUUGUUAAAUCAGCUGCAUUAGUUCUGGAAUAUAUCAAAUACGUGGACUGUUAGGGAAUCACUGGAGGAGAGGUUAGGGAGUCACUGGAGGAGGGUUAAGGAAUCACUGGAAGAGAGCAAAGGGAAUCACUGGAGGAGAGCAAAGGGAAUCACUGGAGGAGAGGUUAGGGAAUCACUGGAGGAGAGGUUAGGGAAUCACUGGAGGAGAGGUUAGGGAAUCACUGGAGGAGAGGUUAGGGAGUCACUGGAGGAGAGGUUAGGGAGUCACUGGAGGAGAGGUUAGGGAGUCACUGGAGGAGAGGUUAGGGAAUCACUGGAGGAGAGGUUAGGGAAUCACUGGAGGAGAGGUUAGGGAGUCACUGGAGGAGAGAUUAAGGAAUCACUGGAGGAGAGGAUAGUGAAUUACUGGAGGAGAGGUUAGGGAGUCACUGGAGGAGAGGUUAGGGAAUCACUGGAGGAGGGGUUAGGGGGUCACUGGAGGAGAGAUUAAGGAAUCACAGGAGGAGGGGUUAGGGAAUCACUGCUCUAUCACCAUGUUUCCAUCUCUCUACAGACCUCGAUGAGUGCAAGGGAAGACUACGGGUUUGUCCCAGCAACGCCAUUUGCCUCAACACCAUUGGGAGCUACCACUGCCUGUGCCAACCUGGGUUCAGAUUCUCUAAUCACACUGUGAAGAACUGAUGGAAAUUCCAAUAUCAAGUUUUCUGAUGAAUUUACCAAUGAUUUUGUCACGUCUGCUGCUGCUCCCCCUCUCUGACGCUCGAGGUUGCCUGGCGGCUCAUCAUUACUCACACCUCUCACCAUCGUUACGCGCCCCAGUGCUUCAUCGGACUCACCUGGACUCCAUCACGUCAUUGAUUAUCUACCCUAUAUCUGUCACCCCCUCCAGUUAAUUUUCCGCGUCUGCAUUGAUGUUGUUUUGUUUCUCCUGUCCUGUUAUUUACCAUGAUGCCCUAGGAACAGUGGGUUAACUGCCUUGUUCAGGGGCAGAACAACAUGUAUAUUUAUCUUUCAGCUCCAGGUAUUCGAACUAGCAACCAUUUGGUUAUUGUCCAAAUGCUCUAACCACUAGGCUACUACCGCCCCUUAGGAUACCUAUCUCCCUGCUGUUAACCUCUCUUGGGUAGGGGGCAGUAUUUUCACCUCCUGAUGUAAAGCAUGCCCAGAGUAAAUUGCCUGUUACUCAGGCCCAGAAUUUAGGAUAUGCAUAUAAUUAGUAGAUUUGGAUAGAAAACACUUUAAAGUUUCCAAAACUGUUAAAAUAAUAUGCCUGCAAGUAUAACAGAACUGAUAUGGCAGGCGAAAACCUGAGAAAAAUCCAUCCAGGAAGUGGAAUUGUUUUCAUGUGGCUGUUUUUCAACUCAAUACCAAUAGAGAAUCCAAUGGGUUAGGAAAAAAAAAACUCAGGCUCAAACGCAGUCAAAACAGGCUGACAAAAAAAUCCAAAUUGUAUCCGUAAAGUUCAUAGAAACAUGUCAAACGAUGUUAAUUUUCAAUCCUCAGGUUGUUUUUAGCCUAAAUGAUCUAUAAUAUUUCAACCGGACAAUAACAUCGUCAAUUUAGGUAAACAAGAAAUGCACUCUCUCGGGAUUGCGCAUGAAAAAGUUCUGCGACAGGGUAGGGUCCACUCAUUCAGACUGGUGUUACUCCCACAUUUAUAAGAAUACAAGCCUGAAACGAUUUCUAAAGACGGUUGACAUCUAGUGGAAGGCAUAGGAACUGCAAAUGGAGUCCUAAAUCAAUGGAUACUGUAAUGGCAUUGAAUAGAAAACUACAAAAUCCCCCCCAAAACUACUUCCUGAAUGGAUUUUUCUCAUGUUUUCGCCUGCCAAAUCAGUUCUCUUUUACUAAGAGACACUAUUUUAACAGUUUUGGAAACUUUAGAGUGUUUUCUAUCCAAAUCUACCAGUUAUAUGCAUAUCAUAUCUUCUGGGCCCGAGUAGCAGGCUGUUUAAUUAUGGGCAUGCUUUUCAUCCAAAAUUCUGAAUGCUGCCCCCUACCCUGGAGAGGUUGAGAAAUGUACUGAAAACCCCAGUGUAAACCUUGUACACAAAAUGUUUGAAAUGUUUGAAACGUCUUUUAAUAUUGAUUAUGAAGUAGAGGGAAAGAAAGGGGAAAUAAACACUCACUUAAUAGGGUUGAAUGACCUCCGACCUCUAUUCUGACUUUCUGGUGAGGCCUAAUCACCCUCACUAGAAAGGCUAGAGACAUUGGGUGAGAUUUAAAUGUAAGAUGUAAACACUGAUAAUUAGUAAGAAGGUUAUAAAUUAAAUCAGAUGGGUCACAUACACAUGUUUUAUCAAUAGUCCUAUGUGUGAUUCAGACCAUGAGGAGGAGAGAGAGAGAGAGUGCUGCCCCUGAAUGAGGGAAACCUGUCUCCAGUCCAAAUUAUGGGAUACAAUUAUUUCCUUAUGGAGUUAUCAAGGCAUGUCAUUUGAUUGUAUUUGUUAUUCUGAUUUGUUUAUUUUUUACUUAAACGGCAGUGUUGUUGUUGUUGUUUUGGACGCAUAAAACACGAUGUGAGUCAUGUGUCAAAAGGGAAGAAGUGCAUUGUGGUUGUUGUUCUUGGUUGUUGUUUGAAUUGUGGUUUUUGUUUUGUUUGUUGUAUGAUGUUUUGUUUGUUUUAUUUUUGUCUUGCUUCAAAAAAAAAUCUCUCCAGAUUGGUUCUGCUGUAUGGUCGGGAUUUCUCCCUAAGGGUUAGCCCUCUACCAAACCUGACCCUGUAACUCUGCAGUGAGGUCGUCAAUGUUACAGGGGAGAAUAAGCCAAUUUGAUAAAAUGGUUUUAACAGUGUGUUGUUAUUCUAUUUGACAUUUGUCUUAGACAUUUCUAUUAAGAAUAUUGGCAGUGGUAAUAAUUUGUUAUUCAGUAAAUAGUUUGUCUGGUUUCAGGCUUUUAUUUUGAAAAACGAUGUGUUAAAAGCCAUUUUAACAAUUAAAACAAUUUUAACAAUAGUUAUCACAGUGUAAUACAUGGAAAGGAGGGAAAGUGAGGGAAAAUGUUGCAGUCUGAAGAGGUAGCAUUGAAUUGUACACAGCAUCUCCUCCCACUCUAUCUUGGUUCGUGCAGGUGACUGUGACCUCCUCCUCAGACCAAUUGACAGUACGCCCAGAACAUUGUUCUGGGUUCCAAAAGGAGUAUCUCAGUUUCAAGGUCCCAGAUUUGAGAGAAGAAACCUUGUUAGUUAUUAGUCAGUCAGUCACUUCCAGGAACCAACUUAGAUGAUGAAUAAUGAAUCAUGUAAAUCAUGCCUAUAUGAAUUGUUUGGGUAGCCGUAUAUUAGAGAACUAACGGGACUGUCCCGGCAGAGCUCCUGACCGAUGUGUACUAUGUUGCAUUAAGUUUGUUGGAACCUCUCCAGCUUUCUGAUAAUAAAGAAUUAAUCACUUAAGUUUGA
Molecule: long non-coding RNA, 4356 nt
Organism: Oncorhynchus tshawytscha (Chinook salmon)
Lineage: Eukaryota; Metazoa; Chordata; Actinopteri; Salmoniformes; Salmonidae
Source: Ensembl